UACAGAGGGGGCAAGCGUUGUUCGGAAUUACUGGGCGUAAAGGGCGCGUAGGCGGCCUGUUAAGUCGAACGUGAAAUCCCCGGGCUCAACCCGGGAACUGCGUCCGAUACUGGCAGGCUUGAAUUCGGGAGAGGGAUGCGGAAUUCCAGGUGUAGCGGUGAAAUGCGUAGAUAUCUGGAGGAACACCGGUGGCGAAGGCGGCAUCCUGGACCGAGAUUGACGCUGGGGCGCGAAAGCCAGGGGAGCAAACGGG
RNAcentral lists this ribosomal RNA (253 nucleotides) under uncultured bacterium. Its description in RNAcentral is "partial 16S ribosomal RNA". It matches the Rfam family "Bacterial small subunit ribosomal RNA", at positions 524 to 776 of the family's 1533-position model. The record is from RNAcentral.